AUACGGAGGGGGCUAGCGUUGUUCGGAUUUACUGGGCGUAAAGCGCGCGUAGGCGGUAUAUCAAGUUAGGCGUGAAAGCCCCGGGCUCAACCCGGGAACUGCGCUUAUUACUGAUAAACUAGAGUCCGGGAGAGGGUGGCGGAAUUCCCAGUGUAGAGGUGAAAUUCGUAGAUAUUCGGAAGAACACCAGUGGCGAAGGCGGCCAUCUGGCCCGGUACUGACGCUGAGGUGCGAAAGCGUGGGGAGCAAACAGGAUUAGAAACCCUAGUAGUCC
Molecule: ribosomal RNA, 274 nt
Filed under: uncultured bacterium
Lineage: Bacteria
Description: partial 16S ribosomal RNA
Rfam family: Bacterial small subunit ribosomal RNA
Source: RNAcentral